Molecule: long non-coding RNA, 1383 nt
Filed under: Lactuca sativa (garden lettuce)
Lineage: Eukaryota; Viridiplantae; Streptophyta; Magnoliopsida; Asterales; Asteraceae
Description: long non-coding RNA (LSAT_LNC005538)
Source: RNAcentral
UGACCAUUAAUUAUUAAAAAAAUUAAUAAAUAUAUCAUUAAUCCUAAGAAUAUGACAUUAAAUACAACAUUAAUAAAGAUAACAUUAUAAAUUAAAAAAACAAAUAUUAAAAAUUUAAUAAAUAUAACAUUAGUAACAUGAAACUAUGAUUACAAAAAAAUCCUUUGAUUCUUAAUACAUCACAUCUAAAUAACCAACUACUACAUUGUGAAUGUUAAGGGAGCAAGAACAUUAUUAGAAGCUUUCUUUCUUGGUCUCCCUCUUGGUUUCUUCGGCUGAUUCAUUUCAAGAUUUGUUUCUCUAUUCCUUUUUGCUUUGAAUCCUUUUUUUCUUUGACUUUGAAGAUUUUGAUGAAUGAGCAGCAAUAGUAAAGAACUAGAAUGCAAUUCAGAUUUCAAUUCAGAUGGUAUGAAAUUUAGAUUCUUGAUUUCAAUGGAGCACAUGCUAUGUAAAGAACUAGAAUGUAAGUCAGAUGGUAUGCAAUUCAGAUUCUUGAUUUCAAUGGUAUGCAAAGAAAGCAAAUCCAACAGAUUAAUUAAGUUUUUCUUUUGGUACCUGAUAUAUGUUUGAAUGAUGUAACAUCAAUUCAGAUGGUGUGCAAUUCAGAUUCGUGUAAAUGUUGUUGGACCAUCAAAGCAUUUUAUGACCAAAAUCGCUGAAAUUUCUCUUAAGAAUUUAAACAAACACUUGGCAUGCUAGUUAUCAAACAACCAUAUCAACCAUAUCACUGAAAUUUCUCUUAAGCAUUAUAUAACCAAAAUCACUGAAAUCGUGAUUCCCAGUGAUCAGACAACCAUUUACACAAACAUAGUAACAACAUAAGUUUGCCUUCAAUUGAGUUUACAGGUUUGUCUAAAAUAUGUUUUAACAGCGAAUCGAGUGUAUAUGAAGAACAAACAUCCGUAUAGAUUGAAGAACACUAAGCUGAUUUUGCCAAUUUAAGUCGAGAGAGAAUCGAUUUUACCAACAAAAAACACCUUAGCAACUAAUCUGAGUAUAGAUUGAAGAACAAACCUUCAUAGAUGAUAAGGACUGGGUCAAAGGGCUUUCAGAGUCAUGGAUGACAUCGGAGGAGAAGGGCAACAACUUUGAGUCGACAAUGCAACAACAAGGUUGGAGGAGGAUGAUAAACUAGAGCAAAAGGCGAUAGCGUGAACGGAGGAAGAAGAUUCAACUUUUUGAUGUUUUACUUCUUUUGUCCUUAAGUCGUGAGAGAGUCGACUUUACCAAUUUCCGCGUUCGAUCUAGCAGAAAACGACAUCACAAUGAGUUUGAAUUGAAUCGGUGGAGUUGUGAACCAAUAGACCAUCAUGUGCAAAUAUGUAUAGAAUUGUUACAAGUUUGUCAUCCCACAUCGCUGGUGGGAAAAUAAACAAAGGCACC